CCUACGGGGGGCAGCAGUGGGGAAUAUUGCACAAUGGGCGCAAGCCUGAUGCAGCCAUGCCGCGUGUGUGAAGAAGGCCUUCGGGUUGUAAAGCACUUUCAGCGGGGAGGAAGGCGUUAAGGUUAAUAACCUUGGCGAUUGACGUUACCCGCAGAAGAAGCACCGGCUAACUCCGUGCCAGCAGCCGCGGUAAUACGGAGGGCGCAAGCGUUAAUCGGAAUUACUGGGCGUAAAGCGCACGCAGGCGGUCUGUCAAGUCGGAUGUGAAAUCCCCGGGCUCAACCUGGGAACUGCAUUCGAAACUGGCAGGCUAGAGUCUUGUAGAGGGGGGUAGAAUUCCAGGUGUAGCGGUGAAAUGCGUAGAGAUCUGGAGGAAUACCGGUGGCGAAGGCGGCCCCCUGGACAAAGACUGACGCUCAGGUGCGAAAGCGUGGGGAGCAAACAGGAUUAGAUACCCGGGUAGUC
This 465-nucleotide ribosomal RNA is filed under the name uncultured Klebsiella sp. RNAcentral's name for it is "bacterial SSU rRNA". It matches the Rfam family "Bacterial small subunit ribosomal RNA", at positions 338 to 795 of the family's 1533-position model. Lineage: Bacteria; Pseudomonadati; Pseudomonadota; Gammaproteobacteria; Enterobacterales; Enterobacteriaceae. The record is from RNAcentral.